Molecule: ribosomal RNA, 460 nt
Filed under: uncultured bacterium
Lineage: Bacteria
Description: partial 16S ribosomal RNA
Rfam family: Bacterial small subunit ribosomal RNA
Source: RNAcentral
CCUACGGGUGGCAGCAGUGAGGAAUAUUGGUCAAUGGGCGCGAGCCUGAACCAGCCAAGUAGCGUGAAGGAUGACUGCCCUACGGGUUGUAAACUUCUUUUAUAAAGGAAUAAAGUGAGGCACGUGUGCCUUUUUGUAUGUACUUUAUGAAUAAGGAUCGGCCAACGCCGUGCCAGCAGCCGCGGUAAUACGGAGGAUCCGACCGUUAUCCGGAUUUAUUGGGUUUAAAGUGAGCGUAGAUGGGUUGUUAAGUCAGUUGUGAAAGUUUGCGGCUCAACCGUAAAAUUGCAAUUGAUACUGGCAGCCUUGAGUAAAGUUGAGGUAGGCGGAAUUCGUGGUGUAGCGGUGAAAUGCUUAGAUAUAACGAAGAACUCCGAUUGCGAAGGCAGCUUACUAAACUGCCACUGACAUUGAUGCUCGAAAGUGUGGGUAUCAAACAGGAUUAGAUACCCGUGUAGUC